This 495-nucleotide ribosomal RNA is filed under the name uncultured bacterium. RNAcentral describes it as "partial 16S ribosomal RNA". It matches the Rfam family "Bacterial small subunit ribosomal RNA", at positions 30 to 507 of the family's 1533-position model. The record is from RNAcentral.
UGACCGCUGGCGGCGUGCCUAAUACAUGCCAGUCGAGCGAACAGACGAGGAGCUUGCUCCUUUGACGUUAGCGGCGGACGGGUGAGUAACACGUGGAUAACCUACCUAUAAGACUGGGAUAACUUCGGGAAACCGGAGCUAAUACCGGAUAACAUGUUGAACCGCAUGGUUCACCAGUGAAAGACGGUCUUGCUGUCACUUAUAGAUUGAUCCGCGCCGCAUUAGCUAGUUGGUAAGGUAACGGCUUACCAAGGCAACGAUGCGUAGCCGACCUGAGAGGGUGAUCGGCCACACUGGAACUGAGACACGGUCCAGACUCCUACGGGAGGCAGCAGUAGGGAAUCUUCCGCAAUGGGCGAAAGCCUGACGGAGCAACGCCGCGUGAGUGAAGAAGGUCUUCGGAUCGUAAAACUCUGUUAUUAGGGAAGAACAAAUGUGUAAGUAACUAUGCACGUCUUGACGGUACCUAAUCAGAAAGCCACGGCUAACUACGUG